This 415-nucleotide RNase P RNA is filed under the name Treponema bryantii. RNAcentral's name for it is "Bacterial RNase P class A". It matches the Rfam family "Bacterial RNase P class A". Rfam says of the family: Ribonuclease P (RNase P) is a ubiquitous endoribonuclease, found in archaea, bacteria and eukarya as well as chloroplasts and mitochondria. The record is from RNAcentral. Lineage: Bacteria; Pseudomonadati; Spirochaetota; Spirochaetia; Treponematales; Treponemataceae.
ACAGAUGGAAUAUAACCGUGCUGCCUUUCGCUGAUGAUAACGGAAGGCGGUGAGAGAAAGUCCGGGCUCCUUCGGAAAGAAUGCCGGGUAACAACCGGGCACAAUCUGGCAGCUGUAGAUUUUCUGCAUAGCCCAGUGCGUGACAGAUAGUGCAACAGAAAUUGUACCGCCCGCUGCAAAGCGAGUAAGGGUGAAAAGGCAGUGUAAGAGACUACCGGUCAUGUCGGUAACGGCUGACGCUUGUAAACCUCAUUCGGAGCAAGAUUAAGCAGCAGUUAAGUUAUUCCGAGCUAUACUGCGGGUAAAUCGCUGGAGCUGAAUGGUAACAUUCAGUGCGGAUAGAUGGUUAUGCCUGCUUUUCUGUUUUUACAGGAAAGUGGAGAACAGAACCCGGCUUACCGUUCCAUCUGUUUUU